Molecule: ribosomal RNA, 490 nt
Filed under: uncultured bacterium
Lineage: Bacteria
Description: partial 16S ribosomal RNA
Rfam family: Bacterial small subunit ribosomal RNA
Source: RNAcentral
GAUGAACGCUAGCGAUAGGCUUAACACAUGCAAGUCGAGGGGCAGCAUGGUCUUAGCUUGCUAAGGCUGAUGGCGACCGGCGCACGGGUGCGUAACGCGUAUGCAACUUGCCUCACAGAGGGGGAUAACCCGUCGAAAGACGGACUAAUACCGCGUACACUCUAUGUUGGGCAUCCAAUGUAGAGGAACUGAAAUUCGCUGUGAGAUAGGCAUGCGUCCCAUUAGCUAGUUGGUGAGGUAACGGCUCACCAAGGCGACGAUGGGUAGGGGAACUGAGAGGUUGAACCCCCACAAUGGUACUGAGACACGGACCAGACUCCUACGGGAGGCAGCAGUGAGGAAUAUUGGGCAAUGGGCGAGAGCCUGAACCAGCCAAGUCGCGUGAAGGAUGACUGUCUUAUGGAUUGUAAACUUCUUUUAGACGGGAAGAACAAGAGUCACGUGUGGCUCCCUGCAUGUACCGUAUGAAUAAGCAUCGGCUAACUCCGUG